This 1020-nucleotide long non-coding RNA is filed under the name Marmota monax (woodchuck). The record is from RNAcentral. Lineage: Eukaryota; Metazoa; Chordata; Mammalia; Rodentia; Sciuridae.
GGGUUUCUGCCUUUUUCUCUUUUUGCAGUGGCCCUUUGACAGGGCUGGCCUUCUCGGAGUUCUCUGCAGAUUUCAUUCAGUGGCCUGCAUGUGAAUUGGAACAAACUUGGUCAUUGUUUGUCUUCCUGCUGUGACAGCCAGGAAUGUUUUCUCAUUGGUGGAAAAUGCCCCACUAAUCCAUCACUUUCAAAGUUGUCCGGGGUUCUUUGUUGGCUCUAGAAGAAAAAUAAUAGACUCUAAUCAAGCACCUUAAAUAUUCAAUAUAAUUAGAGGAGAAACGAAUGGAUUUUGUAAACUCCUAUUGAUACUAAAUUCUACUUGCAGUUAGUCUUGGACAUAAAUUUCAGAAAAUUACAUGUAAAUGUACUCAUUAGUGCACUAUAGUAUUGAACAUCUAUUUUGUCUCUGGGUAAUUUUUCUUUUCUUAGCACAAAAACUAUUUCUACUUAUUAAAAAUAGUAAUUGAUUUUCAAUUUUUUUUCACAACUGUUUUUUUUUUCCAGUUCCAUUUCAUCUCCGCAUUUUGGCUUAUGCAUUCCAAAAAUAUUUUCCUAGGAUUCGUUAAAGGAUUACAUUAUACUCUAAUAAUUUUGAGGAUAAAGGGGAGGAAGGGCAGAUGUAUUAUUACUAGAAAAACCCUGUUAACUGGAGUGGGCCCAGAAAGCAAACCUUGGAAUGAUAAAUUGAAUGGUGUUAUGCUAAGGAGCUGAUUAUACUGUAUAUUGUUCCAUCUGAACAUCAUGGAUCUUAUUUUAUAAUUAAAUGUUUUGAUGAAGCCCUAACUAAAUAGUGCUAGAGUCAAAACAUGGCUUUAUUAAGGGACUCUAAAACUUACAAAUCAGCCACAUAGAUUAGAAUGCUUUGUGCAUUCUUUUAAAUGCAUGUUUGAUUUCUACUCAAGUGUGAAUUUAAGAAAAAGCAAAAGAAAUAUUUCUCAAUAAGCAUUUGAUGAUAAUUUUAAUUAAGCUUUGUUUAUUUCAAAUCACUAUUAUUUACUGGUAUAUAAGACAUGUUCUAUCC